Molecule: long non-coding RNA, 618 nt
Organism: Lycium barbarum (goji berry)
Lineage: Eukaryota; Viridiplantae; Streptophyta; Magnoliopsida; Solanales; Solanaceae
Exons: 3
Source: RefSeq, a predicted model, not a curated record
AACCUUCCAUGAGACAUUAAAGACAUUUUCUUCAAUAUUAAGAUGGAUGUAGCGUUUUUGCUCCAGCUAUUGGCAGACAAGAUUUCUCUCCUCUUCUUCAAGAGCUUCAAAGCAAGGUGAACCGUACUCUAUAAUGAAGUAAAAUAUCGGGGAAGCUUUUACGAAGGUGAUCCAAGUAUGAUCCUUAGUCUGCGACCUUCUACGAGCUCGUAUGAGCAAUAAAAGAUUUUGGAGGAAACGGGACUUGAAUUUGGAUAGGCGUAAAAGGCAAAUAAGGUACAGACGAUCGAUUUGUUGAUCCGCCCGCUUAGGAUUCUAUUCUGCUAUCUUGGAGUGCUCCUUUGUCUGGAGCCUAUAUUUUGGGUACAUACUCUUCUGUUGCACAUAUGUAUGUUAUUCAGGGGUAUGACGGGGCCCUGUCCCGUCUUAUGAUCUGUUUGUUGUUCGUAGAGGUCUGCAGACAUACAUGUGGGUUGUGUAUAUGUUUUGGGUUGCUAUGUUCUAUGAUAGCCUUAUCGGCUUCCGUGCGAUAUGUCUGUUUGUCUGCGAUAAUUAGUAAAGCCAUUCGACUUCUGUAUCUGUAUAUUCUGCUUAUAUUCUAGUUUGGAUUAUUGGGUA